Gopherus evgoodei (Goodes thornscrub tortoise) is the source of this 1753-nucleotide long non-coding RNA. The record is from Ensembl. Lineage: Eukaryota; Metazoa; Chordata; Testudines; Testudinidae.
AUGGAGAACAGUGAACUCAGCCGGACUUUCACCUGCUCCUAUUGGGUCCAGAGCAGCCCCCCAAGACAGCCUCACUCCCAGUCUCUGCCAAGUAAUGCAGUGACCUUGCUCCUGACAGCCUGGUCUCUGCCCAUCCCCCUGGUGGCUGGGUGCAGUGGGGCUGCCACGGCUCUGGCUCUGCUGCUGCUGCUCAUCUGCCUCUGCAGGAAGAAGGUGGCAGCUAGCUGCCAGCUCUCCAUGUCCGACUGGAAGAGAGGGGAGUUGUGCCGGUCAUGGAUAGCGAGACGGUCGGCCGAGAUCUCCGAGCUAAGUAUGUGUGGUGUCACGGCAGAGACACAACCCGUGUAUGUCAACAUACCCUUCAGGGCCAGCACAGCUCUGCAGCAGUGGAGCCAUGAUGGGCAGGCCCAGCUGGUGACCCACAACCAGCCAGCGCAGCCCAACAACCCUGGAGGGAAGCCCGGAGUGGGUCAAAACCCCCAGGAAAGGGUCAAGAGAGAAGAGGCUGCAGAUGCCACAGAAGGGCACAACUCCUCAGUGAGCAAUCCUGUCUAUUCCAUGGUGACGCCCUCUAGUGCCGUGGCCCAGCAGAGAGGAGGAAAGUACAUCUCAGAGGCUGUGGUGUACAGCGAAAUCCCGUACUGAUCACGGUCUCUGCCACCACCCCAUCCCCAUCGCACCCCAUGCUGAGAACAUCUCACAUAAUGCCCCAUCCCCCAACCUUCCCUUCCCUGCAAACCCUGCUAAUGGCCACAAACGUCUUUCUGCUGUUUGAAUGCAAGGGAGUGGGGGGCUGGCAGCCAGGACUCCUGGGUCUUAUCCCAGCUCUGGGAGGGGAGUGGGGUUAGUGGGUUUGAGCAGAGGAUGGGGGCUGGGAGCCAGGCUCUGUGAAGGGAGUAGGUUAGAGCAGGGAGAGCGGUAAUUCCUAACGCUUGGGUUAGUUUCAGCACAUGGGUUUUAGGAGGGAGUUUGGGUUUUAAUCUGUUAAAGAGAAGCGUUUGCAGAACUAUGUGAAAUAGUCCAGAGGGGCCCCUACCCCUACGUCUGUUCCAAUGCACAUUGCACCCUUUUGUUGUGGGAAACCUUCUCUUACAGUGGCAUCCCCUGGAUAUUACUCCUGUUCCUUCACUGUGGAGUUCUGGGUCGGCGUUUUCAAAAAUCCUUUAAACAAAAUGAAAUCAAGUUGGUUUUCAUUAAGGGGUUAGAUAGGGCAGUGGCCUUGACACACACACAGAUCUCUUCCCCUCCAGUAGGGGGCAAAAGGGAGGGACACACACACACACACACACACCUGGAGGACAGCCUGCGAGCAAGAGAUCUAUGCAAUAUCCCCAGCAUCAGAAGAUCAUCCAAUACUUGGAUAUGUUAAUUGAGCCACUGAAAUGCAGCCAGCUCUGGGGUGAGGACUGACCGCUCUUUACACAGUUAGCGCCAGCCCUCCAAAGGGAUCUUCACCCAGGGCUGAAAUGCAGCCACUUCCAGGGGAUGGUUUAACAGCAGUUUAGCAGCAUCAGCGCAAACACUGCAGAAGUGGAUCUCGCCCCCAGCACAACAAUGCAGCCACUUCUAGGGUGGAAGGUGGCAGCUCUUGAAGAGCUGCCUGGCAGAGCUGGUCAGGAGAUGGGGGCCUGGAGAAACCUGGGUCCAACUGAGGCCACAUCUACACUACAGCAUAAAAUCGAAGUUAUUAAAACCGGUUUUAUAAAACUGGUUUUAUAAAAUCGAUUUUAUGCGUCCACACUAGGGCACAUUA